AAUUUAUUAAGAUUAAGAAAUAGCAUACAAACAUAACAUACAAUAAUAACAAUUAUUAUUAUUACCAAAAACAUAUUACUAACAACCAAUCUAUCGAGUAUAUAGAAACACGUACAGUUUUUCUAAAGUGUUUCAUGAAAUGCAAAAAGGAGCACUUUUUCUUCAUGAAAAUAACUUGAAAUAGCUGCAAUUCUUUUCUAAACUUUAUGAAAAUAAAACUACAAAUAAAACUGCGGGUGUUUGCUCGUAAAAUAAUUAACCAAUAUAAUUUUAUGAAGAUUAAGUAAUAGCAUACAUAUAUAACGUAAAAAAUAAAUAACUUUUAUCAUAAUCAUCAUAAAAGGUGCAUCAGAAGUCUUUUCUUGUUUAUACCUUCAUACGAAUCCUCAUACUCAAGCAUACUCAAGUACAAAGCCAACAUAUUGAAGUAAAAUCCAGUCUGAGGUAGACUUUUCAUGAGAAAGAUCUUAUAGAAUAUUUAUUUCGUACGUUGCUAUAGUACAAUAAUGACGUUUAUAAGAUAGAAUACUAUGUGUUGAGGUUUUGGUUUCAGUUGUUUUAAUCAUAUUUUAUGAUUAUCUUUCUUGAUUUUAGCUUCAUCAGAAACAACCAUAGACUAAAUUUGAACUUUUGAAAAAGUCUUUAAAAAGGGUCAAUUUUACCUGAGAAGCAAUACCAUCAUCUAGAAUUU
Molecule: long non-coding RNA, 691 nt
Filed under: Mytilus galloprovincialis (Mediterranean mussel)
Lineage: Eukaryota; Metazoa; Mollusca; Bivalvia; Mytilida; Mytilidae
Source: RNAcentral